RNAcentral lists this non-coding RNA (28 nucleotides) under Rattus norvegicus (Norway rat). The record is from RNAcentral. Lineage: Eukaryota; Metazoa; Chordata; Mammalia; Rodentia; Muridae.
UGAGCAAGCCUGCGUUUUAACCCUGCCU